This 113-nucleotide non-coding RNA is filed under the name Bacillus sp. (in: firmicutes). RNAcentral describes it as "Bacillus sp. SAM-I sequence". It matches the Rfam family "SAM riboswitch aptamer (S box leader)". From Rfam's summary of the family: The SAM riboswitch is found upstream of a number of genes which code for proteins involved in methionine or cysteine biosynthesis in Gram-positive bacteria. The SAM riboswitch acts at the level of transcription termination control. The predicted structure consists of a complex stem-loop region followed by a single stem loop terminator region. The record is from RNAcentral. Lineage: Bacteria; Bacillati; Bacillota; Bacilli; Caryophanales; Bacillaceae. RNAcentral also lists the same sequence under 1 other name.
UUCUUAUCAAGAGAAGCUGAGGGACUGGCCCGAUGACGCUUCAGCAACCGGUCAUGCAAGCGCGCGUGCCAAGGUGCUAAAUCCAGCUAAGCGUUUUGCUUGGAAGAUAAGAA